Molecule: transfer RNA, 86 nt
Filed under: Candidatus Zapsychrus exili
Lineage: Bacteria; Pseudomonadati; Candidatus Omnitrophota
Description: tRNA-Leu
Rfam family: tRNA
About the family: Transfer RNA (tRNA) molecules are approximately 80 nucleotides in length. Their secondary structure includes four short double-helical elements and three loops (D, anti-codon, and T loops).
Source: RNAcentral
GCCGAAGUGGUGGAAUGGCAUACACGUCGGUCUCAAAAACCGAUGCCUUUACGGGCUUGUGGGUUCGAAUCCCACCUUCGGCACCA